Molecule: long non-coding RNA, 1169 nt
Organism: Populus nigra (black poplar)
Lineage: Eukaryota; Viridiplantae; Streptophyta; Magnoliopsida; Malpighiales; Salicaceae
Exons: 3
Source: RefSeq, a predicted model, not a curated record
CCUUGAAAAAAAGAAGAAGCAUGCAGAUGGGUUGCAGAAGCUUCAAGAGAGAGAAAAGAAAAGAAAAUAAAUAAUGAUUUUUAUUUUCCUUAAAAUAGUUUGAUGGAUGAGGAAAUAAUAAGAAGGUCAGGGAUCAAAUUGGAAAUAACCAUUUCAGUUAAAAACGGCGCCGUUUAACUAUUCAUCUCCUUCUUCAUCCCUCUCAUUCAACGAAAAACCCACCAUCAAUCAUGGUCACGUCUCUACCCCAUAGUGUCCACCAACAGAUGCCAUCCCACGAUUAUUAUCCACGCCAGAGAAAGAACAAACCGGGGGGGGGGGGGGAGAGGAGAACAGUUGAACGAACACAACAUGGCAGAGAACGAAAAGAAAAUAAACCCAGAAAAACGAACAAGACAGAAGAGGACCAGGGGAGCAAAAGACAGAGACGAGCAAAAUAAGAAAGGGGGAGAAAAACGAAAACACAAAGACAAGGGAAACCAGAUAACAACACAGGGGUGAGAGGAACACAGACGCGAAGGAGGGGAGAAAACCCACGAACAGAAAAAUACAAAGAAAAAGACAUUACAGAGAGAGACAGACAGACACAGGAACGAAGAAAAACAAAGACAGAAAGAGAGAACAAGGAAAGACGAAGAGGAAAACAAGACACAGAGGAUAGAGCGUUCGGUCAGCCUGCACACAAUCAUCGGCUUCUUCUCCAGCAGACUAGAUGAAUGCCAAAUUUCAUAAUGUGAUUGGGUAACAGAUCACAUUGUCUUAAAUUGAAGACAACAUGUCAAGAAAAUCCCAGGUCGGCUGAGGAAUUUUAUCAAGAACACAACUGAUAAGUCCACAAAAUCCCAGGAGCGAGUUCCAUCCUUGAAAUGAUGAAAUCUAUUGGCAUCUCUUACCUCUACUUCUCUCCCUCUGACAAUAGAGAAGUGUUUGAAUGCUGCGUGACAAUCUCCAUAGACGCGAAGGUUUUUGAACACCCUAAUGGGUUUUGAACUGGAUGUGCUUAUAAGACGAAGUGCUACAACAAUUUUCUCACUGUGCUGAAGCAAGUAGAAGGGCUACGCAAACAUAUCUGCAGAAAGUGAGGCGUUCUAUAAUCUUUGAGGGUGUGUAAUAUGUGUCCACCUGAAAGCAAGGCAUGUACUAUAAUCUUAUCUUCGUACAUUGAACAA